Sebastes umbrosus (honeycomb rockfish) is the source of this 564-nucleotide non-coding RNA. Lineage: Eukaryota; Metazoa; Chordata; Actinopteri; Perciformes; Sebastidae. The record is from the annotation of a RefSeq genome assembly.
AUGACUCUCAUCACCAUCCUCAUCUGGACGCUGGCCUGCUGCUGUUUUACAGGAUGCAGCGGUCAGGUGACUGUGACUCAGCCUCCAGUAGUGACAUCUACUCCAGGAUCCACCGUCUCUCUCACCUGUAAGACCAGCCGAGCUGUUUACAGAUGGUCUGAUGGAGAUGAGGGUAUAUCCUGGUAUCAACAGAAAUCAGGAGAGCGUCCAAAGCUUCUAAUAAGAUAUGCCAAAAAACCUGAAUCAGGAACAGCAGCUCGGUUUAGUGGCAGUGGAAGCAGCUCUGACUUCACUUUGACCAUCAGUGGAGUUCUGACUGAAGACGCAGCAGUUUAUUACUGUCAGAGUUUCCACGAAAUAAACAGUGCUUAUGUGUUCACACAGUGAUUUAGAGCCGUACAAAAACCUCCUUCAGUUUGACUGAAGUGAAACCGGCCUGCUGCAGGUGCAGAGGGUUGGUGAAGAGACUGUGAUGAGGAGAACUGGUCCAGUGAACACAACACAAGAGUCAUCAAGCAGAACCACAAUGAAUCUAAAUAAAACUGGAACAAACUCACAGACGCU